This 279-nucleotide ribosomal RNA is filed under the name uncultured bacterium. Its description in RNAcentral is "partial 16S ribosomal RNA". It matches the Rfam family "Bacterial small subunit ribosomal RNA", at positions 506 to 784 of the family's 1533-position model. The record is from RNAcentral.
UGCCAGCCGCCGCGGUAAUACGGAGGGUGCAAGCGUUAUCCGGAUUCACUGGGUUUAAAGGGUGCGUAGGUGGGCUUGUAAGUCAGUGGUGAAAUCUCCGUGCUUAACAUGGAAACUGCCAUUGAUACUAUGGGUCUUGAAUUAUCUGGAGGUCAGCGGAAUAUGUCAUGUAGCGGUGAGAUGCUUAGAUAUGACAUAGAACACCAAUUGCGAAGGCAGCUGGCUACAGGUAUAUUGACACUGAGGCACGAAAGCGUGGGGAUCAAACAGGAUUAGAUA